This 259-nucleotide long non-coding RNA is filed under the name Phaseolus vulgaris (common bean). Its description in RNAcentral is "long non-coding RNA (PVUL_LNC000258)". The record is from RNAcentral. Lineage: Eukaryota; Viridiplantae; Streptophyta; Magnoliopsida; Fabales; Fabaceae.
AAUUUGCAAAAUAAAUAGCUUGAGAAGUAAUGAUUUUACAGAACACGUAAUAAUGAGAAGAGAUUAAUUAGAACUAAACAAAUUAGUAAGAUUCAUUACAAGAUAUAAAAUAAAACUAUAAAGUUGAACUAGAAGUAAAUUAUUUAUGGGAAGACAUGACACAAUGUGGUCUUCGUAUUUGUCGUCGAGGUCUUCGUGGAAGAGGAUCAUCAACGACAUGUUCAUCAUCGUUAUUAUUGGCUUCAUUAUGAGAUGCUGG